GGGUUGUGAGGUUAAGCGACUAAGCGUACACGGUGGAUGCCCUGGCAGUCAGAGGCGAUGAAGGACGUGCUAAUCUGCGAUAAGCGUCGGUAAGGUGAUAUGAACCGUUAUAACCGGCGAUUUCCGAAUGGGGAAACCCAGUGUGAUUCGUCACACUAUCAUUAACUGAAUCCAUAGGUUAAUGAGGCGAACCGGGGGAACUGAAACAUCUAAGUACCCCGAGGAAAAGAAAUCAACCGAGAUUCCCCCAGUAGCGGCGAGCGAACGGGGAGCAGCCCAGAGCCUGAAUCAGUGUGUGUGUUAGUGGAAGCGUCUGGAAAGGCGCGCGAUACAGGGUGACAGCCCCGUACACAAAAAUGCACAUACUGUGAGCUCGAUGAGUAGGGCGGGACACGUGGUAUCCUGUCUGAAUAUGGGGGGACCAUCCUCCAAGGCUAAAUACUCCUGACUGACCGAUAGUGAACCAGUACCGUGAGGGAAAGGCGAAAAGAACCCCGGCGAGGGGAGUGAAAAAGAACCUGAAACCGUGUACGUACAAGCAGUGGGAGCACGCUUAGGCGUGUGACUGCGUACCUUUUGUAUAAUGGGUCAGCGACUUAUAUUCUGUAGCAAGGUUAACCGAAUAGGGGAGCCGAAGGGAAACCGAGUCUUAACUGGGCGUUAAGUUGCAGGGUAUAGACCCGAAACCCGGUGAUCUAGCCAUGGGCAGGUUGAAGGUUGGGUAACACUAACUGGAGGACCGAACCGACUAAUGUUGAAAAAUUAGCGGAUGACUUGUGGCUGGGGGUGAAAGGCCAAUCAAACCGGGAGAUAGCUGGUUCUCCCCGAAAGCUAUUUAGGUAGCGCCUCGUGAAUUCAUCUCCGGGGGUAGAGCACUGUUUCGGCAAGGGGGUCAUCCCGACUUACCAACCCGAUGCAAACUGCGAAUACCGGAGAAUGUUAUCACGGGAGACACACGGCGGGUGCUAACGUCCGUCGUGAAGAGGGAAACAACCCAGACCGCCAGCUAAGGUCCCAAAGUCAUGGUUAAGUGGGAAACGAUGUGGGAAGGCCCAGACAGCCAGGAUGUUGGCUUAGAAGCAGCCAUCAUUUAAAGAAAGCGUAAUAGCUCACUGGUCGAGUCGGCCUGCGCGGAAGAUGUAACGGGGCUAAACCAUGCACCGAAGCUGCGGCAGCGACGCUGAUGCGUUGUUGGGUAGGGGAGCGUUCUGUAAGCCUGUGAAGGUGUACUGUGAGGUAUGCUGGAGGUAUCAGAAGUGCGAAUGCUGACAUAAGUAACGAUAAAGCGGGUGAAAAGCCCGCUCGCCGGAAGACCAAGGGUUCCUGUCCAACGUUAAUCGGGGCAGGGUGAGUCGACCCCUAAGGCGAGGCCGAAAGGCGUAGUCGAUGGGAAACAGGUUAAUAUUCCUGUACUUGGUGUUACUGCGAAGGGGGGACGGAGAAGGCUAUGUUGGCCGGGCGACGGUUGUCCCGGUUUAAGCGUGUAGGCUGGUUUUCCAGGCAAAUCCGGAAAAUCAAGGCUGAGGCGUGAUGACGAGGCACUACGGUGCUGAAGCAACAAAUGCCCUGCUUCCAGGAAAAGCCUCUAAGCAUCAGGUAACAUCAAAUCGUACCCCAAACCGACACAGGUGGUCAGGUAGAGAAUACCAAGGCGCUUGAGAGAACUCGGGUGAAGGAACUAGGCAAAAUGGUGCCGUAACUUCGGGAGAAGGCACGCUGAUAUGUAGGUGAAGUCCCUCGCGGAUGGAGCUGAAAUCAGUCGAAGAUACCAGCUGGCUGCAACUGUUUAUUAAAAACACAGCACUGUGCAAACACGAAAGUGGACGUAUACGGUGUGACGCCUGCCCGGUGCCGGAAGGUUAAUUGAUGGGGUUAGCGCAAGCGAAGCUCUUGAUCGAAGCCCCGGUAAACGGCGGCCGUAACUAUAACGGUCCUAAGGUAGCGAAAUUCCUUGUCGGGUAAGUUCCGACCUGCACGAAUGGCGUAAUGAUGGCCAGGCUGUCUCCACCCGAGACUCAGUGAAAUUGAACUCGCUGUGAAGAUGCAGUGUACCCGCGGCAAGACGGAAAGACCCCGUGAACCUUUACUAUAGCUUGACACUGAACAUUGAGCCUUGAUGUGUAGGAUAGGUGGGAGGCUUUGAAGUGUGGACGCCAGUCUGCAUGGAGCCGACCUUGAAAUACCACCCUUUAAUGUUUGAUGUUCUAACGUUGACCCGUAAUCCGGGUUGCGGACAGUGUCUGGUGGGUAGUUUGACUGGGGCGGUCUCCUCCUAAAGAGUAACGGAGGAGCACGAAGGUUGGCUAAUCCUGGUCGGACAUCAGGAGGUUAGUGCAAUGGCAUAAGCCAGCUUGACUGCGAGCGUGACGGCGCGAGCAGGUGCGAAAGCAGGUCAUAGUGAUCCGGUGGUUCUGAAUGGAAGGGCCAUCGCUCAACGGAUAAAAGGUACUCCGGGGAUAACAGGCUGAUACCGCCCAAGAGUUCAUAUCGACGGCGGUGUUUGGCACCUCGAUGUCGGCUCAUCACAUCCUGGGGCUGAAGUAGGUCCCAAGGGUAUGGCUGUUCGCCAUUUAAAGUGGUACGCGAGCUGGGUUUAGAACGUCGUGAGACAGUUCGGUCCCUAUCUGCCGUGGGCGCUGGAGAACUGAGGGGGGCUGCUCCUAGUACGAGAGGACCGGAGUGGACGCAUCACUGGUGUUCGGGUUGUCAUGCCAAUGGCACUGCCCGGUAGCUAAAUGCGGAAGAGAUAAGUGCUGAAAGCAUCUAAGCACGAAACUUGCCCCGAGAUGAGUUCUCCCUGACUCCUUGAGAGUCCUGAAGGAACGUUGAAGACGACGACGUUGAUAGGCCGGGUGUGUAAGCGCAGCGAUGCGUUGAGCUAACCGGUACUAAUGAACCGUGAGGCUUAACCUUACAACGCCGAAGGUGUUU
This 2931-nucleotide ribosomal RNA is filed under the name Escherichia coli. RNAcentral describes it as "23S ribosomal RNA". It matches the Rfam family "Bacterial large subunit ribosomal RNA". The record is from RNAcentral. Lineage: Bacteria; Pseudomonadati; Pseudomonadota; Gammaproteobacteria; Enterobacterales; Enterobacteriaceae.